Diabrotica virgifera virgifera (western corn rootworm) is the source of this 1357-nucleotide long non-coding RNA. RefSeq lists it as uncharacterized. The record is from RefSeq and is a predicted model, not a curated record. The transcript is spliced from 3 exons. Lineage: Eukaryota; Metazoa; Arthropoda; Insecta; Coleoptera; Chrysomelidae.
AACUGUAUAGAAGUAAAGGUAUUUUAAACUUUAAAUUAGCCAUUCCAAUGAACUGUCAAACAUGGCCGGCGUAGGGCAAAACUGUCAUGGCGUAUCUAAUGUUUACAUUGGAUAUUGACAUUUAAUUUUUAAAGAAUAUACUGUUUGGUUUUGUUUUUUGUUAAUUGUGUAGCGAAAUCUGCGAAAUUGUGAUGGCAAAUUAAAUAUGAAGUGGUUUAUCGCCUACAGAACUGAAUUAUCCCAUAGUAGUUAUCAGUUUGUGUCAAUUUGUUUAAAAAGACCCUACUCCCAAGGCUUUACAUUUUCAUUAAUUCCCCAUGCAAUACAUUUAAAUGAAUUGUUCAAACAAAGGCGAGAACAAUGGAUAAAAGCCAUAAGGAGAACAGAUCUAACAGAACUAAAAUUAAAAUAAAGUGGAAAGCCAGCCACUUUAGAGGACAUAAAUAAUGAAGAUUUGAUUCAAAACCAAAACAUGGGUUGCGAAAGCCAGACAAUAAAAAGAAAAGGUGAUCUACAAUCCGGAGAGCUGAUAAAAGAAGUAAAUAUAAAGAAAAUAAUGCUGAGACUUCUCUCGAUGAUGAACCAACACCAGAUAGUUUAAAUGUAGGGUAAGGAGUAACUGCUGGAACUCCAACACAAACGUGUUUGACUAGUGAAGAUUUGGAUAAACAACAGGAGUUACAGCUCCCGGAGCGAACCGUGUCCCGUGAGAGAAACCCUGUCUGUGUAAACAUUAGGUGAGUGGUUCGCUCCGGGAGCUGUACUUUCAUUUUCCAAAGAAAUACUUAAUAAUCUAUCAAAUAGAUGUAGCAAAGUAAAGUUAUGUGAUAAUUCUUUAAAAGAUGACAAUAAAAAGUGUCUUUAUUAUAAAGGUUUAGAGUUCCCUAUUUUAAAUGUAGUUUUUAAUAAAAUCAAGCAACAUAUAACAUAUACCAACUAGUUCUAUAUCUGCUUUGGAACUAUGUCAACAGUAUUUGUUAAGAUCAAUUAAAUUACAACUAAACCUUCCAUUUAAAGAUAUUGCAUAUCGUUUUGGAAUAUUGAAUAGCAUCUGUUCUUCAUAUUUUAAUACAGUCAUUUCAAUAUUACAUCAAAAAUUAAAAACAUUAAUAAUCUUGCCAGAACAAGAAGUAGCACAGAAAACAGUCCUUGUUUUAAAGAGGUUUUCAGGAUAAAACAUCAGAAAUAAUAAUUGAUCAUUGAGAAACCAUCAAACUAUUUAACACAACAACAGUGCUGGUCAAAUUAUUAUAUUUAUCUUUGUUAUACGUUAUACAUAAUUAAUUAUUUUUCUGAUGUUCUUUAGUUACUAGUUUUAUAAAUAUUUGUGUCAUUUCAAUAAAAAUUACAGUGGAAC